AUGGCGUGAGGCGUUGUAUACUGACGGAUUAAAGUGAGUCAUACCCAUAUACAAGGUGAGACAUCUGUCACGACUAAGUGUAAGAAGUUUUAACCAGUUCUAUAAAAGUUCUAUAGAAACUUUAUAUGAAAUAGAAUAAGUUUUUAUUUAUCAUAUUAUUCUUUUUUUUUCAAUUUUCAAAAAUAUCCAAACAAUUGCUUUAUUAGAAAAAGUAACAAUUAAAUCAAACAAUUAGAUCUUACAAUGUUAAGAUACUAUAAUAUAGAUUUCUCAAGAAAUUUAUUAUCGCAUCUUAUUCAAAAUACAGGAAACAAUAUUUCACAGUUGAUGGCAACACGUUCCGAUACGUAUCUUCAAGCCCAUUCAAAUUAUAAUUCAAUAAAAUUUGAACAAUAACACUUCUUUAAGUGCAUUGACCUUUUAGACCGUUAUCCUUUUGUUUCAUCCGAUGCACUUUUCCUCAAUGGUACGUCUUCUUCGAUUUGUUUUCAAUUCAAUAUUUUAUUUACAACGUAAUAAUAAAUUGCAUCGAAUUAAGUUACAGAGCUGGUUGAUUCAUCGUAUAACUGGCCACCGAUGUGCGAAACAAGAUACACCGGUGAGAUUUUACAAAUAGAACGAGACACGAAACAGCCAUUUCGUCCCGAGAACGUUAAUUGUACCGUUGCUUUGAACGAGGCCUGAGACGAUGUGGAGCGAACAACAACUGCUCAUUUCUCUCUUCAUUUCAGAUACAUACAUACGCUCUUCGUGUAUUUUUCCUUUCUUUUUCCUCUCCUCUCUCUUUUUUAUUCUUUUUUUUUUUUAUUGUUCACGAUCUCGGCAAACGAGAAACAAAUAUCUCGAUAUCUUUCGUCGCAAUAAGAUGGCACAGGUCAACUGAGAAGUGGUAAUAGACGAUAAAUUGAAAUUAAUGCCUCCGCUCUUGGCCGUGCUUCAAUGUUGUUUCAAUGUUGCACACGAACGUAGAAAUAGAGCCGGAUUAACGCAAAGUCGUUUCUUUAUCUCCCGUGACUUUGUUUGCAGUUUCAGAUAAUAUUUCGAGCUUCGUUCGAGAGAUAUAACGAUCGGUUAAAAAAUUAUUGUCAAUAAAAAUGAAAUGAAUCAUAUAUUUGCAAAUAUUUGUAUACCGUGCACGAGGUGUUUGAAAAAAUAGAAAAAAAAUGUGAAUAAAUAGUAGAAUAAAAAAAAAUUUUUCUUGGGAGGGGGGAAAGAAUUAUCGUAUCCAAUUUAUCGAAUGAGUAAAUUUCUUAAUAAGAGACUGUUGUGGUUUUUUGUUAUUAUUUCGUGAAACGAUAAAAUACAAAAUAUUAUUUUUGAAGAAUCAUGUUCAAUUUACUCGAUGCACAAAUUUUUUUUUAGUAUAUUAUAGAAGAUUAUAUAUUUUACACGUUCUUUAAUGUUACUCCUUUUAUUUAAGUAUUAUAAUAAAAUCUGGGAUAUUCCGUGAAACUUGAAAUUGAUCGAACGUAUCAAACAUUGUGUGUGUAUAUAAGAAAAGUUUUCAUGUUAGUUCAACUUUUAAACUAUCCUUGACCCCUUGUUCAUUAUUUAAGUUUUUAUUCGAAUAUGCAUUCGUGUUAGUAAAUAUUUGAAAAGAACACGCGUAUAUUAAAUUUCGAAAGAUCAAAGGACAUCAUAUUUUCUGUUUUCAUAAUAUAAUUAAUUAUGAUGUAAAAGUGCGUAUAACUAUAUUUUAUUGCGUCGGAUGAUGAAAUAUAUCGAGUUUCUGAAAACCGUCUAUCUUCAUCGAAUUUUGCGAAGUCAGUUAGUUAUAUCUUUCAUUUUAACUAAGCAGUAAGUGGUUCCAAACGAUCAAAGUUAGAUACAUGUCGCUAAAGGUUUCUAUUUCACAUGUAUUCAAAUACAUGUAUAUCGAAACGUAAUGGGAGCCGAGAUUUAAAUUCUGUAAUUUUUAUUACAUUUGUGCAUUUCUAUUACAUGUGUACACGUGUAUUACAAAGAUAUUCUGAUGAUAUAAAGAUAUAAAUGAAAUACAAGGUACCUCACGUGAUAUUUACCUUUUGGAUGAUUCUGAAAUAAUCCAGGUCUUUCUGGAAACUUUUCAAAAUUUUGUAUUCCUACUUAUCUCUAUAAUAUUGAAUUAUGUAAAUUAAGAAAAAAAAAUUGAAAAUUAUUCAAUUAAUAUGAUCGGGAUAAGAGAUAAUUUGUAAACCGUGUAAAAUAUCCAAUAAUAACAAUGAAGGAAUCAAUUUGUAGAUACAGUUAUUUGUAUGAUUCAAAAAAUCUGAGAAAAAAAAUAUAUGAAUCUCAAUAUCAAUAAACAAUCAUAAUAAAGCUCAUAAUAAAACUUUUUUUUUUAUAAACAUUUACACAAGUGUGUCAUUAAUGAAUUGACGCAAAUCGUACAUUCUCAAAUUACGUUGUUUCAUAUUCUUUAUCGUACAUGAAUUUUUUAUUCUAUCAUUAUAUUGAUUCAGCUAAAUAAUUUAGUUAUUAGCAAAAUGUCGCGAUAAAAGAAUAAACUCACUUUAUAUUAAAAUAAAAAAAAAAUUACUAAACUUACGUUUAUUAAAUAUUUGUGUGCAAUUGGUACAUCUUACAAAAUUUUUAUAUAACCCUUGUACAAGUAAUUCCCAAGAAUAAAUCUUGUAACUAUUAAUUACAAUUAUUAAUAAAAUCAUAUAUUGAAUAUCAAGAAACAAACGAGCAUAGAUGCCAACAUCUCAACUACUAUAAUUUAUUUCUUCUAAUACCGCAAUAUAAUCUUUCCAUAAAAAUUUAAAUUAUUCCAACGAAAAAGAUACUACUACUCAUACUUCUUUACGUACAUUUAAUUAUUCCUCAAUAAGGGACAACCAUGAAUCUACAAAUCCAUCAAGAAAUUACUCAUAUUCUCCAUAAUUUAAUCCGACCUCGUUACACCACCAAUCCACCAUCUGACGUCGCAAAAUCGCGAAGAUCACGAAACAACAACAACACAACUUUUCAUGGAAAUCGCGCAGUUACACAUAAUUCCAUCAACAAACGUACGCUACGUCUCAUAGCCGAACGAAAUUCAACGAAUUCAGACGAAAUCGAAAAAAAAAAGAAAUGACUCGUCCAUGAAGUGUAUCGCUACGUUCAAGAACCGGGUUCCCCACACACCGAAUGAAAGCAACGUCUGCGCUCGCAUCAAUGACACGCGCUAUACUCUCGCCGCUAUACUCUCGGCCCGGUAAAACUGGCUGCCGUGGGUUAGACAGCGUGCAGAAGCGAGAAUCGCGUCAGUCCGCGGCGAGUUCUCCGUGUGGGAGCUGCGCUCUCUUGGUGUCGUCGUGCGAGGGUUGUUUGCGAUCGAACGCGCACAGAUCGAUCUCCCGUUUCACAGAGGAGCAGCGAAAGCUUGUAUCGCGUAAACGGCAGGACGAGUGAAUUGAUCUUCAGUUUUGUGAAAGGAACAGUGAAAAUAAAGAACCGUCAAGACGCAGCGUGUCGAUAGCCACAUUCAGUCCAGAGGUAUGAAAAAUUCAUUGUUAAGAAAGUCCAUGGAAAUAUUAAAAUGAACAAUUCUCGCGAAACAAACGACUGAACAGCUUGACUAUUGAAAACACUUUCUAAAAAGGCAAAGCUAUUUAUACGUUUACCAAUAAUCGUUUCCCUCUAUGAAGAGACAGAUAAGAAAAAGAAUUAAUAAUCGUAAUUGUGAUAAAACGGAUCGAUAGGAAAUAUUGAUUUAUCAGUCAUUGAUCCGGAUACGGGUAAAUCGAUCGUUCUAAACAGGAAUUAAAAAUAUCAUGGACAUAUAUCGCCAUGAUAAACAGGGACGCACGCUUGAAAGUGGUCAAACAGGAUUUUCAUGGUACUAUAAUUUUUCGCCGAUGUUGCCAAUUAUCACGAUAUACACAAUGUAUCUGAAAAUCGUGGUGAUUUAUUUCGCGAAUUAAUGAAAUACUCGAUAUCGUCAAACCUGUAUCAUUACUUAUGCUGCGAUUAAAAAAAAAAAAAAUAGAAAAAAAAUUUUUUUUACAUCGAAGAAUAUUCCAACGAAUAAUGUAUAAAAAAUGGGAAACAUUUCUGAUUCUGAGGGCGUGAAUCGAUACAAUAUGAAUGCAUAAUCGUGAUUGGUCGUAGACACGGAAAUAUUUCAAUUGCAAAAUGGCUAAUUAGCAAUCUUGAACAUAUUUUUUUUCAUAUAUACCUUGUUUUUACCAUUUUUCCAAUGAAAUAACUGGCUCAUAAAUAUUAUUGUUCUUUUUUUUUCUUGCAGAAACUAUCUAUCUGUCUAUCUUAAAAAUUAUUAUUAACAUGGUUACAUAUGGUUUGAUUGAAUGCACGUGAUUAUUGGCGCAUCUCUUGUGUCUCACGUGUCUUUAAUUAGGAAUAUACCACGAACAUGACGCAUCUUUGAUUUUAUUGAAUAAAAAAAAAAGAGAAUGGAGAAGAUGCUGAAAAAAUAGAUAGUUUCGAUAGAAGUUCUAAAGAUGAAACUUCAAAUUUUAGAAUGCCAUUAGAAACGUGAUAUAUUAUUUAACUUGAUUUCUGAUAAGUUGGAUAAAUUAUCUGCAAAUUUA
Long non-coding RNA from Apis cerana (Asiatic honeybee), 4514 nucleotides. RefSeq lists it as uncharacterized. NCBI's taxonomy places the organism in Eukaryota, Metazoa, Arthropoda, Insecta, Hymenoptera, Apidae. The record is from RefSeq and is a predicted model, not a curated record.